UACGUAGGGGGCAAGCGUUGUCCGGAAUCAUUGGGCGUAAAGGGUGCGUAGGCGGCCGUGCAAGUCUGGCGUGAAAGCCCCGGGCUCAGCCCGGGAAGUGCGCUCGAAACUGCGCGGCUCGAGUGCCGGAGGGGAGAGUGGAAUUCCUGGUGUAGCGGUGAAAUGCGUAGAUAUCAGGAGGAAUACCGGUGGCGAAAGCGACUCUCUGGACGGCAACUGACGCUGAGGCACGAAAGCGUGGGGAGCAAACAGG
This 253-nucleotide ribosomal RNA is filed under the name uncultured bacterium. Its description in RNAcentral is "partial 16S ribosomal RNA". It matches the Rfam family "Bacterial small subunit ribosomal RNA", at positions 524 to 776 of the family's 1533-position model. The record is from RNAcentral.